This 827-nucleotide long non-coding RNA is filed under the name Homo sapiens (human). RNAcentral describes it as "HSALNT0307489". The record is from RNAcentral. Lineage: Eukaryota; Metazoa; Chordata; Mammalia; Primates; Hominidae.
ACAAAUUUCAACAUGCAUACAAAUCAAGAAGGGGUGGGGGUGUUACAUGCAAAUUCUGCUUCAGUGGGUGUUGGAGCCUGAGAUUCUGGCUUUCUAACAAGCUCCCAGUAGAGAUGGGGUUUCACCAUGUUGCCCAGGCUGGUCUCAAACUCCUGAGCUCAGGCCAUCUGCCCGCCUCGGCCUCCCAAAGUGCUAGGAUUACAGAAGGUGCCUGCUUCCCCUUCACCUUCCACCAUGAUUGUAAGUUUCCUGAGGCCUCCCCAGACAUGUGGAACUAACAGGUUUCUCUUAUUGCCUGGAUCCAAGAGCAUCUCCUGGGUUCUUCCUGUUAGAAUACUGAAUGUCCAUGGAGAGUUUAACAUAAGGAAGAAGAGGCCUGUCUCCCAGCUGAAACUGGUGCAGCAGAUCAUGCAAAGUAAAACCUCAGCAGCUGUGAUGAAGUAGAGCAGAGGGCCUGGGUGUCUGUCAGCUCCAAGCGGAAGAUUUCCCCAGCUUUCUAGGUUCAAGGUUUUUUUCUUUUCUUUCUUUUUAGAUUUCUGACUUCAUAUCUGUGGGAUCCACACAAUGGGGAGGUACUGGCCUUGGAAUCCAUGGUUCCCCAGCUAUCAUUUUACUUUAGAAUUACAGUGUUCUCUGUUAGUGUCAAGGGAAUGAACCUGACGAGAAAAGACCAAACAUAGGACUGUUACAGGGAAGAAAAAUAUGAAAAGACCUAAAGAUGCACGUCCUCAUUAUAUGUAAGGAAUCUAUUUCCUAGAAUCCUAUAAAAAGCUCAAGUGAAUUUGCUUCAGUUAAUAAAUGUGAUUUAAUUAUAAUGAUAAUGCCAC